AUUGAACGCUGGCGGCAGGCCUAACACAUGCAAGUCGAGCGGAAGAAGGGAAAUUGCUCCUGGAUUCAGCGGCGGACGGGCGAGCAAUGCAUAGGAAUCUCGCUGGUAGUGUGGGAGAACGUCCGGAAGCGGGCGCAAAUACCGCAUACGCCCUGAGGGAGAAAGUGUGGGAUCUUCGGACCUCACGCUAUUGGAUGAGCCUAGGUCGGAUUAGCUAGUUGGCGGGGUAAAGGCCUACCAAGGCGACGAUCCGUAACUGGUCUGAGAGGAUGAUCAGUCACACUGGAACUGAGACACGGUCCAGACUCCUACGGGAGGCAGCAGUGGGGAAUAUUGGACAAUGGGCGCAAGCCUGAUCCAGCCAUACCGCGUGUGUGAAGAAGGUCUUCGGAUUGUAAAGCCCUUUAGGUUGGAAGGAAGGGCAGUAAGUUAAUACCUUGCUGUUUUGACGUUACCAACAGAAUAAGCACCGGCUAACUUCGUG
RNAcentral lists this ribosomal RNA (484 nucleotides) under uncultured bacterium. RNAcentral's name for it is "partial 16S ribosomal RNA". It matches the Rfam family "Bacterial small subunit ribosomal RNA", at positions 30 to 507 of the family's 1533-position model. The record is from RNAcentral.